CAUCACCAAGUGCUUCUCUCUUUCUGAGUUCCUAUUUCAUCUGUAUAAUGAAGGAGCUGGUCUGACUGAUGGAAAACCACAUUUUAUUUUUCUCUCACGCUUGCCAAGAAGAUGUGGCAUACUGUGAGGUCAUGAAGUGAAGGGUUUCAAGAAGGUGCUGAAGUCUGAGGCUGCAGCGGACCUUGCCAGCUGGAAGCAAGAUUGCGUCCCAAGAGACACCUACUUCCGGCAGUCCUCUCUGGGGACAUCAGGAACGAUGUGGUAAAUAAA
Molecule: long non-coding RNA, 270 nt
Organism: Mesocricetus auratus (golden hamster)
Lineage: Eukaryota; Metazoa; Chordata; Mammalia; Rodentia; Cricetidae
Exons: 3
Source: RefSeq, a predicted model, not a curated record